GUGGGGAAUAUUGGACAAUGGGGGGAACCCUGAUCCAGCCAUGCCGCGUGUGUGAAGAAGGCCUUUUGGUUGUAAAGCACUUUAAGCGAGGAGGAGGCUUACCUGGUUAAUACCUGGGAUAAGUGGACGUUACUCGCAGAAUAAGCACCGGCUAACUCUGUGCCAGCAGCCGCGGUAAUACAGAGGGUGCGAGCGUUAAUCGGAUUUACUGGGCGUAAAGCGCGCGUAGGUGGUUAAUUAAGUCAAAUGUGAAAUCCCCGAGCUUAACUUGGGAAUUGCAUUCGAUACUGGUUGGCUAGAGUAUGGGAGAGGAUGGUAGAAUUCCAGGUGUAGCGGUGAAAUGCGUAGAGAUCUGGAGGAAUACCGAUGGCGAAGGCAGCCAUCUGGCCUAAUACUGACACUGAGGUGCGAAAGCAUGGGGAGCAAACAGGAUUAGAAACCCUAGUAGUCC
This 451-nucleotide ribosomal RNA is filed under the name uncultured bacterium. RNAcentral's name for it is "partial 16S ribosomal RNA". It matches the Rfam family "Bacterial small subunit ribosomal RNA", at positions 354 to 796 of the family's 1533-position model. The record is from RNAcentral.